AUAGUACUCCCUCCGUCCGAAAAUACUUGCCGGAGAAAUGGAUGUAUCUAGAUGUAUUCUAGUUCUAGAUACAUCCAUUUUUAUCCAUUUCCCCGACAAGUAUUUUCUAGACGGAGGGAGUAUCUC
Triticum aestivum (bread wheat) is the source of this 126-nucleotide non-coding RNA. The record is from Rfam. Lineage: Eukaryota; Viridiplantae; Streptophyta; Magnoliopsida; Poales; Poaceae.